CUUUCUGGAACAAGAAGCCGGUCUAGCGAGGAUCAGUGGGCACCUCCUGAUGACUCCUGGGAACAGCACUUUCUCCAAGGAAAACAGGAUUUUAGCACCAGGCUUCCUGGUCUCCUUUCCAAGGUUGGCAGGGGAAACUUCAGUGUUACCCAUUGUUGAAGAUGUUGAUUUUUAGACUGUGCACUCCUGACAUUUUAAGC
Molecule: long non-coding RNA, 200 nt
Filed under: Mustela putorius furo (domestic ferret)
Lineage: Eukaryota; Metazoa; Chordata; Mammalia; Carnivora; Mustelidae
Description: lncRNA (ENSMPUG00000031101.1)
Source: RNAcentral